ACCACUUCUGCACUGCAGUUUUUACACACUCUCUCUCUCUGCAGAUGCCUCAUCCCCCACAUCCCGACACCCAGACCUGAUUUCAGCCAUUUUGGCUCUUCUCGAUCCGAAUACCAUCCAUACUUCACGCCCACUCAACAUGCACCCAUUACCCACCAGUGGACGUGUCGAGAGCGCAUGUCGAGUUGGCGUACGUGUCGGCAUAUGUCAGGGAGGGAGUGGGCGUAGGAGGAAGACUGAAUGGGAAUGAGAG
This 253-nucleotide long non-coding RNA is filed under the name Vitis vinifera (wine grape). RNAcentral's name for it is "long non-coding RNA (VVIN_LNC008111)". Lineage: Eukaryota; Viridiplantae; Streptophyta; Magnoliopsida; Vitales; Vitaceae. The record is from RNAcentral.